AUACGUAGGUGGCAAACGUUGUCCGGAAUUAUUGGGCGUAAAGCGCAUGUAGGCGGCGUGUUAAGUCUGUCGUGAAACUGCGGGGCUCAGCCCCGUAUGGCGAUGGAAACUGAUGUGCUUGAGGGCAGGAGAGGAAAGGGGAACUCCAAGUGAAGGGGUGAAAUGCGUAGAUAUUGGGGAGAACCCCGGUGGCGAAGGCGCCUUUCUGGACUGUGUCUGACGCUGAGAUGCGAAAGCCAGGGUAGCGAACGGGAUUAGAUACCCCGGUAGUCCUGGCCGUAAACGAUGGGUACUAGGUGUGGGAGGUAUCGACCCCUUCCGUGCCGGAGUUAACGCAAUAAGUACCCCGCCUGGGGAGUACGGCCGCAAGGCUUAAACUCAAAUGAAUUGACGGGG
Molecule: ribosomal RNA, 396 nt
Filed under: uncultured bacterium
Lineage: Bacteria
Description: partial 16S ribosomal RNA
Rfam family: Bacterial small subunit ribosomal RNA
Source: RNAcentral